RNAcentral lists this unclassified non-coding RNA (348 nucleotides) under soil metagenome. RNAcentral describes it as "partial contains 5.8S ribosomal RNA, internal transcribed spacer 2, and large subunit ribosomal RNA". The stretch from base 1 to 120 matches the Rfam family "5.8S ribosomal RNA", at positions 35 to 154 of the family's 154-position model. The record is from RNAcentral.
GAUGAAGAACGCAGCGAAAUGCGAUAAGUAAUGUGAAUUGCAGAAUUCAGUGAAUCAUCGAAUCUUUGAACGCACAUUGCGCCCGCCAGUAUUCUGGCGGGCAUGCCUGUCUGAGCGUCAUUUCAACCCUCAUGCCCCUAGGGCGUGGUGUUGGGGAUCUGCCAAAGCCCGCGAGGGACGGCCGGCCCCUAAAUCUAGUGGCGGACCCGUCGUGGCCUCCUCUGCGAAGUAGUGAUAUUCCGCAUCGGAGAGCGACGAGCCCCUGCCGUUAAACCCCCAACUUUCCAAGGUUGACCUCAGAUCAGGUAGGAAUACCCGCUGAACUUAAGCAUAUCAAUAAGCGGAGGA